RNAcentral lists this long non-coding RNA (3508 nucleotides) under Nicotiana benthamiana. RNAcentral's name for it is "long non-coding RNA (NBEN_LNC020626)". The record is from RNAcentral. Lineage: Eukaryota; Viridiplantae; Streptophyta; Magnoliopsida; Solanales; Solanaceae.
CUUGUUAUGGUCGAUAAAGUUCUAUUAAUCUGGAAGCAAUUUCAGAAAAACAUAUUGCUUUACACAUUAACGGUCUAUUCUGUUGGUUCCGAUUUCCAAUAUGUUGGAGUUGAUGUUUGAGUAAGGCUGUCAGUCGAGGUCGGAGCUCGCAGUAAUUGUCUAUGAUUUUGUAGCUGAUUUUCCGAUCAAAUUUCAUCGCCGAGUCACGCACACAGUCUGGCAGGGAAAAUCUUUGUAUUUACUGACCUUAUUCGUUUAAAAAAGGCACAUCUCAGUCUAUUUUUGACUUCCUACUCUCCUAUUUUGGUGACCUUGUGUGCUUGUGAGUUCUUAAAUUGGACUGAAUAAAAAGAAAAGAGAGUUACAAGGGAACGGUUGCCUAGAUUGGACUCUUUCUAAUAUCAAAUUUGGAGCCCAAAUCCAGAUCACCCACGACCCAAAUCACUACCAUGAACCCGGCCUGCCAUCCCCUUAGUGAAACGAUGUCGUUCCAAGCAAGUCAAUCCUGGCCGUCGAGGAUUCAUCAUCCAACGGUCAGGAACGGUGGUUCCUUUACUAUAAGAGUGUCCGAACGUCUCCACACAUUUCUCAUCUUCCUCACUAUCCCCUCCCUUCAAACCCUAGAGACACAGCCUCAAAUUCCUAGCCAUCGGUGACGGCGCCACUUCCAAACUCAACCAAAAUAACACCCCUGAACCAACAGACCACCCUCAACCCAAAUCCUUUACCCGUUUGGCUCAAAUCAGCUUGUAGCUUCUCGAAUAUUCAUUUGAAGGUUCGAGCCAAACUUGGAACCGAUCCAAUCGAGCCCAAAUAAAUACCAGAUGGCUCACCAACCUUCCUCGCCAUGAAUCCACAGUCAGAACCCAUCGAAUAGUGCUGAGUCUUAUCAAAAUUGGAAUCUAAGGUCUGCACAGUUCGGGCUAAGGAUUGGGCGGGUUUUGUUCAUUUGAUCUCUGGUUAAUAUUAUGGGUUUAUUUCCGUUGAAAUAAACGUAUAAUAUUAAUUAGAAGUCGAUUUCAGACAUUUUCUCGUAAAAGCUUAAAUGCUAGUAAGUUUUCGAUUCCUUCUUUCUUCAGAUUAAUUUGUUGUUUUGUUUAAAUUGUGAUUUCCAGUUUAGUCUAAUUCUUCGUUUAAUGCUCUAGUUCGAUUCCUUGUUUGCUUAAGUCCCGAUUUCUUUUUUCUACUUUUUUGUUCAAACGAUUUUGUAGUCAAUUGCUUAAAUUUAAUACUAUAGUUCGAUUACUUGUUUGCUUAAAUCCCGAUUUCUUUUUCUGUUCUUUUGUUCAAUCAAUUUUGUAGUCAAUUGCUUAAUUGGUCAUUGGUAUAAUUAACUUCUCCUUUCGAUUCUGUUCAUGAAGAAUUUGACGUGGAAUCUGGAUUAAAAUUAUUUUAGUUUUUAGUUUGAUAUUAUUGUUGAUUGAAAUAGUGUUAAUUGGUUGUUUGAAUAUAGCUGAAGAGCUCAUUUGUUAGUUUAAUUAGAGUUACAAUUCUAACUAGGGGUAAGGGUUAGGUUCAGUUAGGCUAGUCUGUGAUUGUUGGGCUGUUGGAAGGGUAGUUUAGGAAUAGAAAAUAGCAGCAUCUUGAAACAUAGUAUAUUCAAAAUGAGGGGGCGGAGGAGGACACGGAAAAGGGAAAAAGCUACGAUGUAAUAGGGGACUCUCCGGCUGGUUCUUUUUCUACACAAAAUAAAAAUCAGAGGACCCGCCGCUGACCCAAAGGAGCACCCCCUCAUCUUCCUAUCUAACACAAAGCAUCCCCAUAUUCAUUCAUCACCUUGACCCUUCAACCGUGGAACAGAUCUGAAACUUUAGAGCAUUAUCCAGCGACCUUUCAACAUACAUCAUCAGAAACACAUACACAGACACACGAAAGCACACAGGGAUACACAGUUGCUUGAAUUUCGUGGAGAUGGUUUGGAUUUUAGUGUUGUUGUGGAGUUCCUUUAAGUUUAAAAGUUUUGCUUCUUUUGAUUUCAAUGGAAAUUGAUUCAAUUUCGGGGAUGGAGUUUGUUUGAGUUUCAUUGCUUCGGUGACUGUUCGAGGUGUCGUCCGCAGUGGGGUUCGUAAUCCCGUUUGAGUUUGAUUGUUGUUUCGACUUUUGGUUGUAGCGUUUGCUCCAUUUCUGUCCGUGUAUAUACUCGAAAUUUUAUCAAAUGAAUGUUUGAUUUUCGGUUUGUCAUGGUCGCUAAAGUUCUAUUAAUCUCAAAGCAAUUUCAGAAAAACAUAUUGCUUUACACAUUAACGGUCUAUUCUUUUGGUUCCGAUUUCCAAAAUGUUGGAGUUGAUGUUGGAGUAAGGCUGUCAGUUGAGGUCGUAGCACGCGAUUAUUGUCUCUGAUUUUGUAGCUAAUUUUCUGAUCAAAUUUCAUCGCCGAGUCACGCACAUAGUCGGGCAGGGCAAAUCUUUGUAUUCACUGACCUUACUCCUAUUUUGGUGACCUUGUGUGCUUGUGAGUUCUUAAAUUGGACUGAAUAAAUGAGUUGAUGUGGUUUAUUCUUAGCCUGACUAUUAAUGUGGUUUAUUCUUAGCCUGACUAUGUGUGGUAUAUUUCUCUUAUAUUGUGUGUGUUUUAAACCAAGUGUUCUUGGUCGAAAAUUACAGUAAGUGGCAUGUCUGUUUUGUUCGGUUAGAUCUGUUCGCUAUUGACUUCCUUCCUUAAUGUGGUCCAAGUAAUUUGAAUUACAAAUCAGUAGUGCGAUAUUCUUUUUGGAUUUGAAAGAAACGGUCUCCAAGUUCCAUAUUCAUUGUCCUAUUGAUGGCUUUAAUUAAGUAUUUGGCAGAAGUAGACAUUUUGGGUGUUUUGAGUUAUAGGUAAAAAUCAUUUCGUUAGAAGGUUGGAAUAAUUCGAGGUGGGCCCAAAAAAAAUUGAUAAUUGCAUGGCCCUCAUUUUGUUUAAUUCUGUAUUGAUCCUUAGAAUCCGAGGCGUGCCAUUUAGCGGAUUUCAUGGCCCUCGCAAAAGUGCAAAUGGGUAGUUGCAUUAGGCGCGUAUUUAAUAAUAUUACCUUCCUAAACUCGGGUGCGCAUUGAUGCGAUCCAAAUCCAAAUCUCAAUGGAGUAAAUAUGUUUUAACAACCACGGGUGCAUUGAUUGUGACAUGGUUCGAGAUGCAUUUUCGCGACGAUGCAAUUUCUUUAAAGUAAUAAUAAAACCGGUUUACUAAUAACAGGCACAUAAGCUAGAACAUAUUUUGAAAUCAGAUAAAAUCAAAUAUAACAGUUAAGCGACUGUGUUAGAACCACGGAACUCGGGAAUGCUUAACACCUUCUCCCGAGUUAAUAGAAUUCCUAAUUAGAUUUCUGGUUCACAGGCUGUUAACAUAGUCAUAUAUUUCCUCGGUUCGGGAUUCAACCAGUGACUUGGGACACCAUUAACCUCCCAAGUGGCGACUCUGAAUGAUUAAUAACCAAAUCCUAUUCUGAUUGUCCUUUAAUUGGAAAAACUUGUUUACGCGUUGCGGGGACAUAUAGCGAAAAAGGAGAUGUGACAGCUCUGGCGACUCUACUGGG